UUAGAGUUUGAUCCUGGCUCAGGAUGAACGCUAGCGGCAGGCUUAACACAUGCAAGUCGAGGGGCAGCAUGUCCAGCAAUGGAUGAUGGCGACCGGCGGAAGGGUGCGUAACGCGUGAGCAACAUGCCCUAUACAGGGAGAUACACCAGGGAAACUUGGUCUAAUAUCCCAUAGCAUUCAUUGAAGGCAUCUUUAAUGAAUUAAAGCUUCGGUGGUAUAGGAUUGGCUCGCGUGACAUUAGCCAGAUGGUGAGGUAACGGCUCACCAUAGCAAUGAUGUCUAGGGGUUUUGAGAGGAAGGCCCCCCACACUGGGACUGAGACACGGCCCAGACUCCUACGGGAGGCGGCAGUGAGGAAUAUUGGGCAAUGGGCGCAAGCCUGACCCAGCCAUGCCGCGUGCAGGAUGACAGCCCUACGGGUUGUAAACUGCUUUUAUACGGGAAAAAACCCUCUGACGUGUCAGAGGCUGAUGGUACCGUAAGAAUAAGCAUCGGCUAACUCCGUGCCAGCAGCCGCGGUAAUACGGAGGAUGCAAGCGUUAUCCGGAUUUACUGGGUUUAAAGGGUGCGCAGGCGGAACGACAAGUCAGUGGUGAAAUCUCCUGGCUCAACCAGGAAACUGCCAUUGAUACUAUCGUUCUUGAGUCCAGUUGAAGUAGGCGGAAUGUAGCAUGUAGCGGUGAAAUGCUUAGAUAUGCUACAGAACACCGAUAGCGAAGGCAGCUUACUAAACUGAAACUGACGCUCAUGCACGAAAGCGUGGGGAUCAAACAGGAUUAGAUACCCUGGUAGUCCACGCC
Molecule: ribosomal RNA, 800 nt
Filed under: uncultured bacterium
Lineage: Bacteria
Description: bacterial SSU rRNA
Rfam family: Bacterial small subunit ribosomal RNA
Source: RNAcentral